AACGUAGGUGGCAAGCGUUAUCCGGAUUUACUGGGCGUAAAGGGUGUGCAGGCGGGGUAGCAAGUGGGGGGUGAAAGCCCUGGGCUUAACCUGGGAAUUGCAGUCGAUACUACUCGGCUCGAGUAUGGGAGAGGGCAGUGGAAUUCCCGGUGUAGCGGUGAAAUGCGUAGAUAUCGGGAGGAACAUCAGUGGCGAAGGCGGCUGCCUGGCCCAAUACUGACACUCAGGUGCGACAGCGUGGGGAGCAAACAGG
Molecule: ribosomal RNA, 253 nt
Filed under: uncultured bacterium
Lineage: Bacteria
Description: partial 16S ribosomal RNA
Rfam family: Bacterial small subunit ribosomal RNA
Source: RNAcentral